Molecule: ribosomal RNA, 245 nt
Filed under: uncultured Lachnospiraceae bacterium
Lineage: Bacteria; Bacillati; Bacillota; Clostridia; Lachnospirales; Lachnospiraceae
Description: partial 16S ribosomal RNA
Rfam family: Bacterial small subunit ribosomal RNA
Source: RNAcentral
UACGUAGGGGGCAAGCGUUCUCCGGAUUUACUGGGUGUAAAGGGAGCGUAGACGGAGAGACAAGUCUGAUGUGAAAUCCCACGGCUCAACCGUGGAACUGCAUUGGAAACUGCCUGUCUUGAGUACCGGAGGGGUGAGCGGAAUUCCUGGUGUAGCGGUGAAAUGCGCAGAUAUCAGGAAGAACACCGGCGGCGAAGGCGGCUCACUGGACGGUAACUGACGUUGAGGCUCGAAAGCGUGGGGAG